CCUGUUCGAGCGUCAUUACAACCCUCAAGCUCUGCUUGGUAUUGGGCGCCGCCGCCUGGCGCGCCUCAAAAUCAGUGGCGGUGCGUCUGGCUUCCAGCGUAGUAAUUCUUCUCGCUGCGGAGCCCAGGCGGCCCCCGCCAGAACCCCCCAUUCUAUCAAAGGUUGACCUCGGAUCAGGUAGGGAUACCCGCUGAACUUAA
Molecule: unclassified non-coding RNA, 200 nt
Filed under: soil metagenome
Description: partial contains internal transcribed spacer 2 and large subunit ribosomal RNA
Source: RNAcentral